ACCGCGCCUGGUCAAAAAGGGGGUGGUUCUAACUUUCAUCUUAGGGUAGCUGUGAAAAUGAAAGGAGAUGAUACAUCCACAGCACUUGGCACAGGGCUUGGCAUACAGUACGUGCUCAAUAAAGGGAGCUGUUGCCACCUCUUGUGGUCCCUGCUAGGGAGGGUGAGGCCUUGGUGUGGAAAGUGAGAACAGAGCUGGUCCCUACUGAGGUGGGCACUCUUCUUGCUCCCUGGGAGGGCACCGCGGGCCCAGGGCAGGCGCUGAGUCGCGUGUGCUCCUCUCUGAUUGCUGCGCAGGUCGGCCGGCUGGCGGAGCUGGGCGCGGCGUCAGGACGGGCCACCAGGCCGGGCUAGGAAGGUGUAGUGGGCCUCAGCGCCGCCAAGGGCGGUCCCGGCUCCUGUAACCGUUGCAGUCUUCUGUCCCUUCACCCAGGUGGGCAAACGCAGAGGCGGGAACAAACUAGCCCUCAAGACGGGAAUAGUAGCCAAGAAGCAGAAGACGGAGGAUGAGGUAUUAACAAGUAAAGGUGACGCAUGGGCCAAGUACAUGGCAGAAGUGAAAAAGUACAAAGCUCACCAGUGCGGUGACGAUGAUAAAACUCGGCCCCUGGUGAAAUGACGCCCCUCCCCCGCCUGCCCAUGGCCUGGGACUCUCUGCGAUGUACAUAACUAUUUAAUGCAGCGGCAGCGGCGGCAGCCUUCCCCGAGAGGACUUAAAAGCAGAAGGAAACCGAGAUGCUUCCCGCAGCCGUGGACGAUUCUCCAGGACUCUUUUUUUACCUUGAGCACUUGCCUCGUGAGACUUCAUAGAACAGUGGUUUACUGUCCCCCCUCUUCUCACCUCCUCAUUCUCUCUGGCUCUUUCUGUCUUCCUCUUCUCACCCUCCUCCCUCCCCUUAGCCAUCACUUCUGGGAAGUAAAGAACUUGACUU
This 931-nucleotide small RNA is filed under the name Pongo abelii (Sumatran orangutan). RNAcentral's name for it is "retained intron". The record is from RNAcentral. Lineage: Eukaryota; Metazoa; Chordata; Mammalia; Primates; Hominidae.